GACGAACGCUGGCGGCGUGCCUAAUACAUGCAAGUUGAGCGAUGAAGAUUGGUGCUUGCACCAAUUUGAAGAGCAGCGAACGGGUGAGUAACGCGUGGGGAAUCUGCCUUUGAGCGGGGGACAACAUUUGGAAACGAAUGCUAAUACCGCAUAACAACUUUAAACAUAAGUUUUAAGUUUGAAAGAUGCAAUUGCAUCACUCAAAGAUGAUCCCGCGUUGUAUUAGCUAGUUGGUGAGGUAAAGGCUCACCAAGGCGAUGAUACAUAGCCGACCUGAGAGGGUGAUCGGCCACAUUGGGAAUGAGACACGGCCCAAACCCCUACGGGAGGCAGCAGUAGGGAAUCUUCGGCAAUGGACGAAAGUCUGACCGAGCAACGCCGCGUGAGUGAAGAAGGUUUUCGGAUCGUAAAACUCUGUUGGUAGAGAAGAACGUUGGUGAGAGUGGAAAGCUCAUCAAGUGACGGUAACUACCCAGAAAGGGACGGCUAACUACGUG
Molecule: ribosomal RNA, 497 nt
Filed under: uncultured bacterium
Lineage: Bacteria
Description: partial 16S ribosomal RNA
Rfam family: Bacterial small subunit ribosomal RNA
Source: RNAcentral